UACGAAGGGGGCUAGCGUUGCUCGGAAUCACUGGGCGUAAAGCGCACGUAGGCGGAUUGCUAAGUCAGGGGUGAAAUCCUGGAGCUCAACUCCAGAACUGCCUCCGAUACUGAGGGUCUUCGAGUCCGGGAGAGGUGAGUGGAACUGCGAGUGUAGAGGUGAAAUUCGUAGAUAUUCGCAAGAACACCAGUGGCGAAGGCGGCUCACUGGCCCGGUACUGACGCUGAGGUGCGAAAGCGUGGGGAGCAAACAGG
This 254-nucleotide ribosomal RNA is filed under the name uncultured bacterium. Its description in RNAcentral is "partial 16S ribosomal RNA". It matches the Rfam family "Bacterial small subunit ribosomal RNA", at positions 524 to 776 of the family's 1533-position model. The record is from RNAcentral.